UACGUAGGGUGCGAGCGUUGUCCGGAAUUAUUGGGCGUAAAGAGCUCGUAGGCGGUCUGUCGCGUCUGCUGUGAAAACCGGAGGCUCAACCUCCGGCCUGCAGUGGGUACGGGCAGACUAGAGUGCGGUAGGGGAGAUUGGAAUUCCUGGUGUAGCGGUGGAAUGCGCAGAUAUCAGGAGGAACACCGAUGGCGAAGGCAGAUCUCUGGGCCGUAACUGACGCUGAGGAGCGAAAGCAUGGGGAGCGAACAGG
This 253-nucleotide ribosomal RNA is filed under the name uncultured bacterium. RNAcentral's name for it is "partial 16S ribosomal RNA". It matches the Rfam family "Bacterial small subunit ribosomal RNA", at positions 524 to 776 of the family's 1533-position model. The record is from RNAcentral.